Molecule: long non-coding RNA, 233 nt
Organism: Perognathus longimembris pacificus (Pacific pocket mouse)
Lineage: Eukaryota; Metazoa; Chordata; Mammalia; Rodentia; Heteromyidae
Exons: 3
Source: RefSeq, a predicted model, not a curated record
GGGUCUUCAGUUCUAUUCCAAUGGUUCUCAGGCCUGUUCCUGUGCCAAUACCAAGCUGUUUGCUGUUUUUAUUCCUAUAGCUUUCUAAUAGAGUUUGACGUUUGGUAUUGGUAUUCCUCCAGCGCAGUUCUUUCUGCUAGGAUUCUUUUUGCUAUUCGGGGUCUUUUAUUGUUGCAUAUGAAUUUCUGGAUUGCUUCUUCUAUUUCAUUAAAGAAUGAAUACCCAAAGAAACA